This 500-nucleotide ribosomal RNA is filed under the name uncultured bacterium. RNAcentral's name for it is "partial 16S ribosomal RNA". It matches the Rfam family "Bacterial small subunit ribosomal RNA", at positions 30 to 523 of the family's 1533-position model. The record is from RNAcentral.
AUUGAACGCUGGCGGCAUGCCUUACACAUGCAAGUCGAACGGCAGCACGGGAGCAAUCCUGGUGGCGAGUGGCGAACGGGUGAGUAAAGUAUCGGAACGUGCCCAGUCGUGGGGGAUAACGUAGCGAAAGUUACGCUAAUACCGCAUACGAUCUAUGGAUGAAAGCGGGGGAUCGCAAGACCUCGCGCGAUUGGAGCGGCCGAUAUCAGAUUAGGUAGUUGGUGGGGUAAAGGCUCACCAAGCCGACGAUCUGUAGCUGGUCUGAGAGGACGACCAGCCACACUGGGACUGAGACACGGCCCAGACUCCUACGGGAGGCAGCAGUGGGGAAUUUUGGACAAUGGGCGCAAGCCUGAUCCAGCCAUGCCGCGUGCAGGAUGAAGGCCUUCGGGUUGUAAACUGCUUUUGUACGGAACGAAAAGGCUUGGCUUAAUACGUUGAACUCAUGACGGUACCGUAAGAAUAAGCACCGGCUAACUACGUGCCAGCCGCCGCCGUAA